UAGUUCUGAGUUUCCGCAUGGGAAUUCAGAUAAAGCUCCGGCGGUUAAAGAUGGGCAUGCGUGACAUUAGCUAGUUGGUAAGGUAAUGGCUUACCAAGGCUACGAUGUCUAGGGGUUCUGAGAGGAUGAUCCCCCACACUGGUACUGAGACACGGACCAGACUCCUACGGGAGGCAGCAGUGAGGAAUAUUGGUCAAUGGGCGCAAGCCUGAACCAGCCAUCCCGCGUGAAGGAUGAAGGUCCUAUGGAUUGUAAACUUCUUUUAUACACCAAGAAAAACACCCACGUGUGGGUGCCCGACGGUAGUGUAUGAAUAAGCAUCGGCUAACUCCGUGCCAGCAGCCGCGGUAAUACGGAGGAUGCAAGCGUUAUCCGGAUUCAUUGGGUUUAAAGGGUGCG
RNAcentral lists this ribosomal RNA (399 nucleotides) under uncultured bacterium. Its description in RNAcentral is "bacterial SSU rRNA". It matches the Rfam family "Bacterial small subunit ribosomal RNA", at positions 173 to 571 of the family's 1533-position model. The record is from RNAcentral.